RNAcentral lists this long non-coding RNA (342 nucleotides) under Setaria viridis. Its description in RNAcentral is "long non-coding RNA (SVIR_LNC008566)". The record is from RNAcentral. Lineage: Eukaryota; Viridiplantae; Streptophyta; Magnoliopsida; Poales; Poaceae.
CCAAUCCCCAAUCCAACCAAUCCAAUACAGGGAGGCUUCCUCCGUCGUCUUCGCAGCAGAUUCGCCUGAAUUUGAUUUGGGUUUCUGUCUCAUCGAUGUCGCCGCUCAAGGUGAGGAAGUUCCCCUAUUGCCCUAGGUUUUUUUUUCUUUACCAAUUUUUCUCAAAUCUUCCCCUCCCUAAUCAAUUCUUUGUCCAUUUCUUACCUUAUCUGAUCAGUGUGCUGCCCGCGGCUUACUAAAAUGCCCCCGUCACUGCACCUGCUAGGUCCAUUAAGUCGCAUGUAUAUCAUGCUGCCUGUUCUUCACGAAAUGGAACUGUCUUAUGUCCCAUCUUAUAAAGCC